GCAGUAGCCGCGGUAAUACGGAGGGAGCUAGCGUUAUUCGGAAUUACUGGGCGUAAAGCGCACGUAGGCGGCUUUGUAAGUAAGAGGUGAAAGCCCGGGGCUCAACCCCAGAAUUGCCUUUCAGACUGCAUCGCUUGAAUCAUGGAGAGGUCAGUGGAAUUCCGAGUGUAGAGGUGAAAUUCGUAGAUAUUCGGAAGAGCACCAGUGGCGAAGGCGGCUGACUGGACAUGUAUUGACGCUGAGGUGCGAAAGCGUGGGGAGCAAACAGGAUUAGAUACCCCCGUAGUCCCUGUCUUUUAUAC
Molecule: ribosomal RNA, 302 nt
Filed under: uncultured bacterium
Lineage: Bacteria
Description: partial 16S ribosomal RNA
Rfam family: Bacterial small subunit ribosomal RNA
Source: RNAcentral